RNAcentral lists this ribosomal RNA (790 nucleotides) under uncultured archaeon. RNAcentral's name for it is "bacterial SSU rRNA". It matches the Rfam family "Archaeal small subunit ribosomal RNA", at positions 55 to 853 of the family's 1478-position model. The record is from RNAcentral.
GAGUCAACAUAGCAAUAUGUGGCAUACGGCUCAGUAACACGUAGUCAGCAUGCCCAGGGGACGUGGAUAACCUCGGGAAACUGAGGAUAAACCGCGAUAAGUCACUACUUCUGGAAUGGGUAAUGACUUAAAUCUAUAUGGCCCCUGGAUUGGACUGCGGCCGAUCAGGCUGUUGGUGAGGUAAUGGCCCACCAAACCUGUAACCGGUACGGGCUCUGAGAGGAGGAGCCCGGAGAUGGGCACUGAGACAAGGGCCCAGGCCCUAUGGGGCGCAGCAGGCGCGAAACCUCUGCAAUAGGCGAAAGCCCGACAGGGUUACUCUGAGUGAUUUCCGUUAAGGAGAUCUUUUGGCACCUCUAAAAAUGGUGCAGAAUAAGGGGUGGGCAAGUCUGGUGUCAGCCGCCGCGGUAAUACCAGCACCCCGAGUGGUCGGGACGUUUAUUGGGCCUAAAGCAUCCGUAGCCGGUUCUGCAAGUCUUCCGUUAAAUCCACCUGCUUAACAGAUGGGCCGCGGAAGAUACUAUAGAGCUAGGAGGCGGGAGAGGCAAGCGGUACUCGAUGGGUAGGGGUAAAAUCCGUUGAUCCAUUGAAGACCACCAGUGGCGAAGGCGGCUUGCCAGAACGCGCUCGACGGUGAGGGAUGAAAGCUGGGGGAGCAAACCGGAUUAGAUACCCGGGUAGUCCCAGCUGUAAACGAUGCAGACUCGGUGAUGAAUUGGCUUUAUGCCUAUUCAGUGCCGCAGGGAAGCCGUUAAGUUUGCCGCCUGGGGAGUACGGUCGCAAGACUGAA